Coniochaeta pulveracea is the source of this 86-nucleotide non-coding RNA. The record is from the annotation of a GenBank genome assembly. Lineage: Eukaryota; Fungi; Ascomycota; Sordariomycetes; Coniochaetales; Coniochaetaceae.
GCCCUUAUAGCUCAGUGGUAGAGCGUUGCACUUGUACGUCUCGCACGUUUAUGCAAAGGUCUAUAGUUCAAUCCUGUAUGGGGGCA